GAUGAACGCUAGCGGGAGGCCUAACACAUGCCAGCCGAGCGGUAUUGUUUCUUCGGAAAUGAGAGAGCGGCGUACGGGUGCGUAACACGUGUGCAACCUGCCUUUAUCUGGGGGAUAGCCUUUCGAAAGGAAGAUUAAUACUCCAUAAUAUAUUGAACGGCAUCGUUUAAUAUUGAAAGCUCCGGCGGAUAGAGAUGGGCACGCGCAAGAUUAGCUAGUUGGUGAGGUAACGGCUCACCAAGGCGAUGAUCUUUAGGGGGCCUGAGAGGGUGAUCCCCCACACUGGUACUGGGACACGGACCAGACUCCUACGGGAGGCAGCAGUGAGGAAUAUUGGUCAAUGGGUGCAAGCCUGAACCAGCCAUCCCGCGUGAAGGACGACUGCCCUAUGGGUUGUAAACUUCUUUUGUAUAGGGAUAAACCUACCCUCGAGAGGGUAGCUGAAGGUACUAUACGAAUAAGCACCGGCUAACUCCGUG
RNAcentral lists this ribosomal RNA (479 nucleotides) under uncultured bacterium. Its description in RNAcentral is "partial 16S ribosomal RNA". It matches the Rfam family "Bacterial small subunit ribosomal RNA", at positions 28 to 507 of the family's 1533-position model. The record is from RNAcentral.